This 253-nucleotide ribosomal RNA is filed under the name uncultured bacterium. RNAcentral's name for it is "partial 16S ribosomal RNA". It matches the Rfam family "Bacterial small subunit ribosomal RNA", at positions 524 to 776 of the family's 1533-position model. The record is from RNAcentral.
UACGUAGGGUGCAAGCGUUGUCCGGAAUUAUUGGGCGUAAAGAGCUCGUAGGCGGUCUGUCACGUCUGCUGUGAAAACUCGGGGCUUAACCCCGGGCCUGCAGUGGGUACGGGCAGACUAGAGUGCGGUAGGGGAGACUGGAAUUCCUGGUGUAGCGGUGAAAUGCGCAGAUAUCGGGAGGAACACCUGUGGCGAAGGCGGCUUUCUGGGCCCUACCUGACGCUGAGACGCGAAAGCGUGGGGAGCGAACCGG